UGUCUGUGUGUGGAUAGACGUACCUUUUGCAUCCAUGCCAACAGAGUAAUGCAUCUUAAACCCUAAACUGCUGAUCCUGUUAUCAGUUCUGAACUUGAUG
Haliotis rubra (blacklip abalone) is the source of this 100-nucleotide long non-coding RNA. RefSeq lists it as uncharacterized. The transcript is spliced from 3 exons. NCBI's taxonomy places the organism in Eukaryota, Metazoa, Mollusca, Gastropoda, Lepetellida, Haliotidae. The record is from RefSeq and is a predicted model, not a curated record.